This 3198-nucleotide long non-coding RNA is filed under the name Anas zonorhyncha (Eastern spot-billed duck). RNAcentral describes it as "lncRNA (ENSAZOG00000006551.1)". The record is from RNAcentral. Lineage: Eukaryota; Metazoa; Chordata; Aves; Anseriformes; Anatidae.
CUGCAAAUUCCCAGCCUGAUUGCCAGUUAGCAGUCUGGCUGGCUUGAAAUAAACAAGUGAAGGAUCUUUCUUCAGCGGCUGCAGAUGUUUCAGUGCUAAUUCUUUUGCAUGUACUUUCUUGAGAAAGAGCAGUUUACUUAAAGUUAAUUUAUUGCAGUUGUUUUCCUAGGUUAUCUGUUUUAUAGGGUAAUUGUCUUAAGGAAUUAAAAUCUGUGGAAAAAUUAGGUCCUCAUUAAGAUACGAUGAAUAAAUUUACUCACUGUAAGGUAGGUCAAGAAUAGAGGCUAGAAAAUGGAACAAGGGCUCUUAACUAGACUCUCAACUUUUUCUGGGCAGACAGCUUCUGUUCCUCUGUUUGCAAAAGAUUUGUUCUCUAAAAGGUGUUGAGUUCAGGAUCUGAGACCUGGCAGAAGAUCAGCUACAGGAAGAGAUGCCUGAAUGAUUUCCUGACUUCAUAGAAGACUGCAUGACAUGGAUGACUUCUUUCUGUGGACACGUUUAGAAGGCAAAACUUUUUAUCAGAGCCCUUGGGUUUGUCUUUUUUUUUUACAACAUGAGUGAGCUUUCAAGAUGAAGAUGUAAAAAGUCAUGCAAGGUUGGAAACUUGUCCCAAAGCUGAGGCUCUUUGAAGCUAUGGUAUUGCAAUCAAAUUCUUGAUGUAAUGAAGCAACGCCCGUGUGUGUAGGUCCAUGCACACAUAUGUGCUCCACUCGAUUGUUUUCCUGUAAUUUCUUCAAACCUUGCAAUCAAUCAAAUCACUGGCUUCAAAAACUCACCAAAGCAGUAUUUGACUCAUCAAAAUAUUAUCGUGAAUUUGGAACAGAGGAGCCAUUUAGAAACUUUGGACUGGAUGGAUGAAAUGUCCUCUUGUCUGCUGAGUGGGCAUAAAUGGCUACAUAAAAUACUGAGUGGUUGUGAGUAAGUUAUACUGUAGGAUGCAAGGCCAUGGUUUGGAAAAAUAAUUUGGAACUUGAAGUAAAGUGGGACUGGUAUCAAGAAGUUUUGAUUUGUCAGCCUGUUUUACCAGAACUGUGGAGAAGCUGAUACCUCAUUCUAGAAAAUAAUUUCUUCAGAUAUUAGGACCGAACGAAAAGUGUAAUAAAGCAAAGAUAUCAACAUAUCACUCUACUAUCUUGUUUAGAGUUAAGAGCACACAAUAAAGUCAAACAGUUUUGUCAUAUCAGUAUGCGGUCUUAGAAGUUUCUCCUUAAGACAGCUGUAGAGCUCAUGAUUUCAGCAUGUAAGAGAAUGAUACAACUGUGGUUUUGUAGUAUCAGCCAUUAAGAACUCUAAUUUCAAUUUAUCAAUGUAGAAAAAAAAUUAAAAAGGUAAAAUUUUAAAUCUAUUUUAAUGUUAGGCUUUUGAGCUGAGAGAUUUUAGUUACAUAUUCAUUUUUGCCAGAUAGACAGUAAGUGAAUUUAAAAAAAGUUCAUAUUCUUACAGAAGUUCUUGUAGUAUUAUUUCAGGAUCAAGGACUUAAAGCACUUCUAGUGUAAGAGGUUUUUUUUAUUAAUAAUUCUUUAGGGUAGGAAAAAACAUUUGAUUUAUAUUUAAAAUUUUUCAUUCUUUAAAAUGAUUUUUGUUGUUGUUAGGACAUAGUUCUGUGCAGCUGGCUGUUAAACUGUGUCAAAACUCUAUGCAACUAUUAAAAAGAAAAAAGGUAAAAUUUAUGGGCUUCAAAAUAAUCAUAGAAAUUGAUUUUUACUGUGCAUGAAACUUAGUAGGUGAUUAGCAGAGAAAUACAAAGCAGACACUAUUAAAAUGUUCAGUGACUUGAAGUGUAUUGGGAUCUUAGCUUUUACAGACUUAAGUUCUCUCUGCCAAUUUUCUCUUUACAAAUUACUGGUAUUUUGACUGCAUGAGAGUGCUAUGAUAGUAAGAUAACUUAGAAGGUCAGCUAGAGAAACAGUCCUGGAUCUUUACAUACAUUUGUAUAUUUUAGAUAGUAGGUGUCUUUUUAUGAUUCUUCUUAGGUUAAUUAUCCUGAUUAGCUUCUGCAAUUAUCUGAAGAACAAUGGCAUUUUAUUAAUGGAUGUUUUCUUUUUUUCUCUGAUUUAACCCUCUUCAUCAAAAUGUGAUGUGUAAUAAAAACAAUGGCAUAAGGAUUAUAUGCUAAUGCAUUCCAGAUACGUCAGAGCAUAAGUGAGUGACCAUUACUUUGUACUCUGAAUUUUACUCAUAAAGCAAAAAUACCAGUGUUAAUUUGCAAUAGAUUGGCAGUAGGUUUAUAGUGUUUUUGGAAGAUAAAAAUGUAGACCCCUAAGAAUUUUGAUUGGAAAGAAUAAUUGGGCUACUUAGGAGCUAGGAGAAAGUGGCCUGUAUAUUUCUUUUUGCAAUUUGCUUGUUGCCAAGAGCAAGAAAAAACAUCUUUUUUUUUUUCUAUUAGUAUUUAGAUAGACCCUGAGAGUCUAUGAAGUUUUCACCUUGAAAAGGAUAGCUUACUAGAGAGAAGUGAAUGUUUUCACCUUUGCUUUUUCUGUUUGGUGUUAUGGAGACAAUUUUUCACUCAGAGAAAAAGUAUCUACUGCAGAGGGUGUGGGGUGAAGAAAAACAAGCAGUUUUAAACUAAAGCUUUCAUCUUCCAAAAUUCUUGGAAGCAUAGAAGUAAGCCCUAAAAAUGUCAUUAUUUUUUCUUGUGUGAAGAGGUAUUGUUUGACUGUCAAGGACAAAUUUUAAAUCUAGUAAAACUUGCUCAACAGUUUCUACUUUGGCUCAUUGUUAUUAUUAUUUUUUUUAAUAAAUCCAUCUGUAUUGCCAUGAAGAAAACCAAGCUUUAAUCAUGUUCCAGAAGGAAUCCUCCCUGCUUGUUCUCAGAAAGCCUGAUUUCAAUGUUUUCUCUCCCUUACCGACCUGCCCAUCUUGACUAAUCAUACUGCAGCAGUUCUGUGAGUGAGGGCUAAUAGUAUAUUUAUUUGGAGAGGCGGAGGAAAAAAAUAAAUUUUCCUGAAUGCCAUCUGGUUAGUGAUGGGAAAAGUAUGUUUUAUUGCUCUAGAUCAAGUGGAGGGAUGUGUAUAAGCUUUGAAAAGGAAAGAUAUGCUUGCCAGAAGCCACAGAUAUGAUUUUCUGCUGUAAGAAUGGCUUCUGUUAAUUAGAGGUACAGCUCUGGUGGGAACUUUGUAAAAGAGCCUGAGCAAGUUGACCAAAGUUCUGUUCAGAGCUGAGAACACAAGUCCCUGCCCCUGGGCAAAUUGCUGCCCU